Molecule: ribosomal RNA, 354 nt
Filed under: uncultured Tomentella
Lineage: Eukaryota; Fungi; Basidiomycota; Agaricomycetes; Thelephorales; Thelephoraceae
Description: eukaryotic LSU rRNA
Rfam family: 5.8S ribosomal RNA (bases 1-72)
Source: RNAcentral
GUGAAUCAUCGAAUCUUUGAACGCACCUUGCGCCCUCUGGCUAUUCCGGAGGGCAUGCCUGUUUGAGUAUCAUGAACACCUCAACUCUCAUGGUUUGCCAUGAUGAGUUUGGACUUUGGGGGUCUUGCUGGCCUGUGAGCCAGCUCCUCUCAAAUGAAUCAGCUUGCCAGUGUUUGGUGGCAUCACAGGUGUGAUAACUAUCUACGCUUGUGAUUUUCCACCAGGUAACCUUCAGCAAUGGAGGUUCGCUGGAGCUCACAGACGUCUCUCCUCAGUGAGGACAGCCCUUUGAAUGUUUGAUCUCAAAUCAGGUAGGACUACCCGCUGAACUUAAGCAUAUCAAUAAGCGGAGGG